AGAGUUUGAUCCUGGCUCAGAGUGAACGCUGGCGGCGUGCCUAAUACAUGCAAGUCGAACGAUGAAGCUUCUAGCUUGCUAGAAUGCUGAUUAGUGGCGCACGGGUGAGUAACGCAUAGGUCAUGUGCCUCUUAGUUUGGGAUAGCCAUUGGAAACGAUGAUUAAUACCAGAUACUCCCUACGGGGGAAAGAUUUAUCGCUAAGAGAUCAGCCUAUGUCCUAUCAGCUUGUUGGUAAGGUAAUGGCUUACCAAGGCUAUGACGGGUAUCCGGCCUGAGAGGGUGAACGGACACACUGGAACUGAGACACGGUCCAGACUCCUACGGGAGGCAGCAGUAGGGAAUAUUGCUCAAUGGGGGAAACCCUGAAGCAGCAACGCCGCGUGGAGGAUGAAGGUUUUAGGAUUGUAAACUCCUUUUGUUAGAGAAGAUAAUGACGGUAUCUAACGAAUAAGCACCGGCUAACUCCGUGCCAGCAGCCGCGGUAAUACGGAGGGUGCAAGCGUUACUCGGAAUCACUGGGCGUAAAGAGCGCGUAGGCGGGAUAGUCAGUCAGGUGUGAAAUCCUAUGGCUUAACCAUAGAACUGCAUUUGAAACUACUAUUCUAGAGUGUGGGAGAGGUAGGUGGAAUUCUUGGUGUAGGGGUAAAAUCCGUAGAGAUCAAGAGGAAUACUCAUUGCGAAGGCGACCUGCUGGAACAUUACUGACGCUGAUUGCGCGAAAGCGUGGGGAGCAAACAGGAUUAGAUACCCUGGUAGUCCACGCCCUAAACGAUGGAUGCUAGUUGUUGGAGGGCUUAGUCUCUCCAGUAAUGCAGCUAACGCAUUAAGCAUCCCGCCUGGGGAGUACGGUCGCAAGAUUAAAACUCAAAGGAAUAGACGGGGACCCGCACAAGCGGUGGAGCAUGUGGUUUAAUUCGAAGAUACACGAAGAACCUUACCUAGGCUUGACAUUGAGAGAAUCCGCUAGAAAUAGUGGAGUGUCUGGCUUGCCAGACCUUGAAAACAGGUGCUGCACGGCUGUCGUCAGCUCGUGUCGUGAGAUGUUGGGUUAAGUCCCGCAACGAGCGCAACCCCCUUUCUUAGUUGCUAACAGGUUAUGCUGAGAACUCUAAGGAUACUGCCUCCGUAAGGAGGAGGAAGGUGGGGACGACGUCAAGUCAUCAUGGCCCUUACGCCUAGGGCUACACACGUGCUACAAUGGGGUGCACAAAGAGAAGCAAUACUGCGAAGUGGAGCCAAUCUUCAAAACACCUCUCAGUUCGGAUUGUAGGCUGCAACUCGCCUGCAUGAAGCUGGAAUCGCUAGUAAUCGCAAAUCAGCCAUGUUGCGGUGAAUACGUUCCCGGGUCUUGUACUCACCGCCCGUCACACCAUGGGAGUUGUGUUUGCCUUAAGUCAGGAUGCUAAAUUGGCUACUGCCCACGGCACACACAGCGACUGGGGUGAAGUCGUAACAAGGUAACCGUAGGUGAACCUGCGGUUG
RNAcentral lists this ribosomal RNA (1484 nucleotides) under Helicobacter pylori. RNAcentral describes it as "bacterial SSU rRNA". It matches the Rfam family "Bacterial small subunit ribosomal RNA". Lineage: Bacteria; Pseudomonadati; Campylobacterota; Epsilonproteobacteria; Campylobacterales; Helicobacteraceae. The record is from RNAcentral.